Molecule: ribosomal RNA, 300 nt
Filed under: uncultured Lactobacillus sp.
Lineage: Bacteria; Bacillati; Bacillota; Bacilli; Lactobacillales; Lactobacillaceae
Description: bacterial SSU rRNA
Rfam family: Bacterial small subunit ribosomal RNA (bases 52-300)
Source: RNAcentral
GGUAAUGUCGGGGCAGAGGCCGGGGUAAACAGGAUGGACCAAUAGUAGUCCGGAGUAUAUGGGCGUAAAAGGUGGGCAGGGUGUUAAGUAAGGCUGAGGUGAAAGGCUGCGGCUCAACCGGAGAAUUGCAUCGGAAACUGGAUGAAUUGAGUGCAGUAGAGGAGAGCGGAACUCCAUGUGUAGCGGUGAAAUGCGUAGAUAUAUGGAAGAACACCAGAGGCGAAGGCGGCUCUCUGGACUGUAACUGACGCUGAGGCUCGAAAGUGUGGGUAGCAAACAGGAUUAGAUACCCUUGUAGUC